CCAGGGAGCUGGGCUGGCCACAGGAACGGGGUGACAGCCCCGAGAAGCCACCACAGCUCCCACAGCAAAGGACGGGGAGGAGAGGGGGGCAGGGAGGCUCAGACCAGCUCGUGGGUAAGCCCAGCACAGAGGGCAGGGCUGUGAAGCAGAAGGACAUGGAUUGAGCAUCCCCAGCCCUCUGCUCUCAGGUUCCAUGGUGGGAAUGGCAGCAAGCAGGGAGCAGGUCCCUGAGCAGAGCCUGAGAGCUGCACAGACCCCAGUCCCGCCCCAGGUCGAUACCAGUCUCUGGUUCCAUGAUGUCAGAUUGCAGAAUGGGCAUCCCAGGGGGGUGAUGAAGGUGACACCGAGCCACCAAGGAACCACAGCACUUCUCCUGCGGCGCUGCUGGCCAGCCUGACCUUCAGAGAUCGUUUUCCCUGCUCCAGACCAGCAGAGCAUCCCCCAGGACAAGCCCAGUGGAUGUUUUGAUUGGCUCCUUGAGGAGCUCAGGCAUUGACCUGGCUGUUUAAUGGCUCUCCCAAACACAACCCAAGGAGCCUGUGCAGCCUCCAGCCUGUCCUUGGGGUGUUAAAUGACUCCAGUCUCCCCUCAAGGGCUGGGGCCAUCUGCUCAGAAUGGGAAUUGAUCCAGCCUGACAGAAUUCCACGAUUCCAAAUAAAAAGCUGCAGCUGAAAUUACACAUGGAGUGGCCUCAAGGCACUCAGUUCCUCUCCAAGAGGAAUUUGCUCUUCCAACAGGAAGCUCCAUGGACCCAGCCCCAGUGCAAUGUGGAGAGGUUGAGGCAGGACCAUGCACGUCCCUCCUGAGGCUUCCAGGGCACCAGGGAGGCUGCAGAGGCUCUGCAGAGCCCCUUCCUGUUGGAAUGCUGGGGGACACAAGACAGAUGAUGGACUUUGGAUUUGAUAAGAGGAUGCCUUGGCAAAAGCAAACGGAACUUUGAAAAUCAGGCCUGGAUUGCAAAAGGUUCAAUCAGAUGGAUUGAAUAGAAAAAGAAAAUCCCAAUAAACUCUGCAAGUAAGA
Molecule: long non-coding RNA, 1020 nt
Organism: Haemorhous mexicanus (house finch)
Lineage: Eukaryota; Metazoa; Chordata; Aves; Passeriformes; Fringillidae
Exons: 2
Source: RefSeq, a predicted model, not a curated record